AUCAACAAGGUGAAAAAAACUUCAAAUUACUAGUAUAUCAGUAUAUGGCAGUUAAGAUCAUUGCUGCAUGUUAGGAAUUCCACCUUUGAAGUCUCACUUUAAAAGUUAGACUAUAAAUCAGGAGUUUCUCAUGGUUAGGCUUAUGCUCUUUAAUUAACACUUCGAUUCCGAUUUAUGGCAGUUCCAGCUUGGAACAUGAUCAGAAAUCGGAAUCCACAACAUCAUGGUGGUGGAAGGUCAGGCGGUAUAAAGAGCUCGCCAUUUUGUCAUGGAGAUCAGGUUUUAUAACAAUAGCAUUAGAAACUGACAUAAGGAAAUGAGAAGCUUCGUAGAUGAUUGACAAUGUUAGGGAUGUCAAUUUGCAUUUAUGAAUGAGGAUGAGAG
This 384-nucleotide long non-coding RNA is filed under the name Medicago truncatula (barrel medic). Its description in RNAcentral is "long non-coding RNA (MTRU_LNC002562)". Lineage: Eukaryota; Viridiplantae; Streptophyta; Magnoliopsida; Fabales; Fabaceae. The record is from RNAcentral.